GUCGAAUCCUGAAGGCUGGAGGCAAGAUCC
This 30-nucleotide non-coding RNA is filed under the name Cricetulus griseus (Chinese hamster). Lineage: Eukaryota; Metazoa; Chordata; Mammalia; Rodentia; Cricetidae. The record is from RNAcentral.